Molecule: long non-coding RNA, 373 nt
Organism: Eptesicus fuscus (big brown bat)
Lineage: Eukaryota; Metazoa; Chordata; Mammalia; Chiroptera; Vespertilionidae
Exons: 3
Source: RefSeq, a predicted model, not a curated record
UAAUUUCUGUCACUUUCCUGGGCCCUGUAGACAGUGAGGUUGCAAUGCCUGCCUGAGCUGAUCUCUGAUGCUGCUUCCAACUCUGAUACCCAGAGAGUCUAGGUCCUAAGCCUCAGCAAUCAGAUGAGCAUCUUGCCUUUGAGGAGAUAUAGUAGAAAGAAAAAAACAACACUUGCCACGGAAACCAGCAGGAAGAUGUCUUGUCUGAGAUAAUACAUGUACAAAGGCUGGGUAAUCACCUAAGGAUGCUCAUGAUGGAUUCCUGAAGCAGUUGAGAGAUCAGAAUGCCACCAAAGUCUCUUCUAAACCAUAAUCUGUGGUGCUUUUUGACUCUUUGCUUUCUAAUAUCUACAGAGAGGUAUUUUAUUACAAC